GGCAGAUGGACUGUAUCCCCCUAAAGCAAGCUGUGCCUGGGUCACACAGAGCACAGGCCUCUGGGCAGUGCUGGGAAAAAAAGAGGAAACCAUCAGAUGUCAGUGACUACAAAACCAAGUGCUAAACUGGAUUUGAAACAACAAGGUAAUCCCUACAAGUUUGGUGCUAGAGGCGACACAUCUUCCACUAGUGUGAAGGAGGUCAAGUGUUUUAUAUCACCCAGGAUUGCCUGAAGAGUCACCGUGGACUUCCAAUACGAGGACCUUGUUGACGUACACCCAGAUUUCAUCCCCGCCACCAACCGUUAU
Molecule: long non-coding RNA, 309 nt
Organism: Acanthaster planci (crown-of-thorns starfish)
Lineage: Eukaryota; Metazoa; Echinodermata; Asteroidea; Valvatida; Acanthasteridae
Source: RefSeq, a predicted model, not a curated record